RNAcentral lists this ribosomal RNA (312 nucleotides) under uncultured Luteolibacter sp. RNAcentral describes it as "bacterial SSU rRNA". It matches the Rfam family "Bacterial small subunit ribosomal RNA", at positions 355 to 659 of the family's 1533-position model. The record is from RNAcentral. Lineage: Bacteria; Pseudomonadati; Verrucomicrobiota; Verrucomicrobiia; Verrucomicrobiales; Verrucomicrobiaceae.
UCGAGAAUAAUUCACAAUGGGGGCAACCCUGAUGGUGCAACGCCGCGUGGAGGAUGACGGUCUUCGGAUUGUAAACUCCUGUCAUCUGGGAGUAAGACCUGGCUGUGAAUAGCAGACAGGGUUGAUAGUACCAGAAGAGGAAGGGACGGCUAACUUCGUGCCAGCAGCCGCGGUAAUACGAAGGUCCCGAGCGUUGUUCGGAAUCACUGGGCGUAAAGGGAGCGUAGGCGGCGUGGUAAGUCAGAUGUGAAAUCCCGGGGCUCAACCCCGGAACUGCAUCCGAUACUGCCGUGCUAGAGGAUUGGAGAGGUA